CCACAUCCGUCGGCGAGGGCAGCUCUCAGGGGCCACGUUCCGUGGUCUGGACAGCCCUUUGCUCUCCCCAGUCCGGGGAGGCUGUGGGCCAGAGCCAGGGCCUCGGUACCGGCUCCUCCUAAGUCCCCUCCAUGGGCUCAGGGACUCAAUGUCCUGCUGUGUGUGUCUGUGUCCAGUCGGGGGGGGGGGCAGGAUGCAGAGGGGACACAGGGAACCCAGGACCUUCCAGCGAUGGCUCCCGGAAUCCCCGUGGCACAGUGGGGCUCCCCUACCCAGGCCAUGUGCCCGCCAUGCCACGGCCUGAGCCCAGGAGUCUCCAAUGCUGGGGACGGGGCUGGUCCCAACUUCCCACGUUCACAGGGAGGGGUCUGGGGCACGGAGCUGCCUGUGUCAGCCCAACACAAAAUGGGCGGGGCCGGGAGGUGGGGAUGCUUCUGGAACCACGGGCUGGCACUCAGCCUCAGACCGCCCUCGCCCUGGUCGGCCGCACUCCCUGUGGUUGGGAAAGGUCCCCUUGUUCCCAGCCAGGUCCUGUGUCACAGAUGGCCCCAGUGCCCGGUCGCACGGCUCCCUCUGCUCAGUUCUCACCCCUUCCUGGGGGGCCGUGAGGGGUCUGAGCUCUCCUGCCCAGGGAGCCUCCCCCACAUUCUCCAUAGAUCACCCCAGGUGCUUCCACUGAGCCCACCCCACCCCCAACAGCUGCCCUGGGCCUGGGCCCACCCUCUACCUGAAGCCCCGCCCACUGACCUGAGAGCAGGGGCAGGCAUCUCCAGGAGUCUCCCCUGGUGUCUCGGGGGAUUCUGAGCAGGAAUCUGGCAGCUGGUGGGGGAAAGGUGGAGGCCCGGGGGCCAGCGGGGGCUGGAUGGUGUGGGGCGGGCACCCUGGGCUGGGGCUUCAGGCAGCUGAGUGUCUGGGAAGACCUGCAGAAGGGGCAGGUGAUUCCCUGGAGGGGAGUGGGACACCCGCUGUGGAGGCGGGGCUGGCUUGGGCCCUCCACCUGCACAGCCCCUCUGGCUCCUCCCCUCUGGGCCCCUCCCAUGGGGGACUGGAGCGGACUGGGCACGGUCGGCUUUCAUAUGUGCUGGUGGUCACUUCAUGGUUCAGUUCUGCUCAGUUCUGUGUGGUCCGGCUCUGUCACCGGCCUGCCGGAGCUCGCAGGAAGUGGGCCCCCAGGCACACACCAGCUCCUGUUCCCCCACCUGUCCCACAGAGCCACUGCCACCACCUCCUCACGUCCAUCAGCACAGCUGGCAACCAGCCUAGCUCCCACCAGCACCCUGACUGUGGGGCAGGAGGACGCCCAGGGUCCUUGCGUUCUGGAGUGCCCCCCCCGGCCCACACUGGGACCCUGAGUGUGCGCAGGUGUGGGCUGAGCCCUUCACACCCAGGGAGCAAGGAGAAAGACCUGACACUGGACACUGCGUGCAGUCGGGCCUGCCGUCCGACUUCUUGGUGCCAGCGUGCAGCACCGCCUUGGGCUCAGGACAGGAAAGUCACAUGGAGUUCCCGAGGGAGAGACCUGGCGCGGACCUGUGCCCUGGUGCCAGGUAAGCUCUGAACGCGCGGAGGCCUGGGUCCAGUCUGCUCAGAGCAGGCGCAGGGAAGCUUCCGGAAGAGCCGGCAGCUGGUUGCGAAUGCCCUGCCCAAAGCAGGGGCACAGGCGAUGACUCGCGCCAGGUGCAGCCCCAC
RNAcentral lists this long non-coding RNA (1689 nucleotides) under Oryctolagus cuniculus (rabbit). RNAcentral describes it as "lncRNA (ENSOCUG00000036706.1)". The record is from RNAcentral. Lineage: Eukaryota; Metazoa; Chordata; Mammalia; Lagomorpha; Leporidae.